RNAcentral lists this ribosomal RNA (433 nucleotides) under uncultured bacterium. RNAcentral's name for it is "partial 16S ribosomal RNA". It matches the Rfam family "Bacterial small subunit ribosomal RNA", at positions 29 to 507 of the family's 1533-position model. The record is from RNAcentral.
AACGAACGCUGGCGGCAUGCCUAACACAUGCAAGUCGAACGAAGCCUUCGGGCUUAGUGGCGCACGGGUGCGUAACGCGUGGGAAUCUGCCCCUUGCUUCGGAAUAACAGUUAGAAAUGACUGCUAAUACCGGAUGAAGUCUUCGGACCAAAGACUUAUCGGCAAGGGAUGAGCCCGCGUAGGAUUAGGUAGUUGGUGGGGUAAAGGCCUACCAAGCCGACGAUCCUUAGCUGGUCUGAGAGGAUGAUCAGCCACACUGGGACUGAGACACGGCCCAGACUCCUACGGGAGGCAGCAGUGGGGAAUAUUGGACAAUGGACGCAAGUCUGAUCCAGCAAUGCCGCGUGAGUGAUGAAGGCCUUAGGGUUGUAAAGCUCUUUUACCAGGGAUGAUAAUGACAGUACCUGGAGAAUAAGCUCCGGCUAACUCCGUG